Molecule: transfer RNA, 74 nt
Filed under: Rhodoferax antarcticus ANT.BR
Lineage: Bacteria; Pseudomonadati; Pseudomonadota; Betaproteobacteria; Burkholderiales; Comamonadaceae
Rfam family: tRNA
About the family: Transfer RNA (tRNA) molecules are approximately 80 nucleotides in length. Their secondary structure includes four short double-helical elements and three loops (D, anti-codon, and T loops). Further hydrogen bonds mediate the characteristic L-shaped molecular structure. tRNAs have two regions of fundamental functional importance: the anti-codon, which is responsible for specific mRNA codon recognition, and the 3' end, to which the tRNAs corresponding amino acid is attached (by aminoacyl-tRNA synthetases). tRNAs cope with the degeneracy of the genetic code in two manners: having more than one tRNA (with a specific anti-codon) for a particular amino acid; and 'wobble' base-pairing, i.e. permitting non-standard base-pairing at the 3rd anti-codon position.
Source: Rfam by way of RNAcentral
GCCGGGUUAGCUCAGUUGGUAGUAGCAAUCGAUUUGUAAUCGAUAGGUCAUCUGUUCGAUUCAGAUACCCGGCA